RNAcentral lists this ribosomal RNA (953 nucleotides) under uncultured bacterium. Its description in RNAcentral is "bacterial SSU rRNA". It matches the Rfam family "Bacterial small subunit ribosomal RNA", at positions 581 to 1530 of the family's 1533-position model. The record is from RNAcentral.
UUCCACGUCGGCGUGUGAAAUCUCGGGGCUCAACCCCGAGCCUGCAGUCGAUACGGGCAGACUAGAGUAUUGCAGGGGAGACUGGAAUUCCUGGUGUAGCGGUGAAAUGCGCAGAUAUCAGGAGGAACACCGGUGGCGAAGGCGGGUCUCUGGGCAAUAACUGACGCUGAGGAGCGAAAGCGUGGGGAGCGAACAGGAUUAGAUACCCUGGUAGUCCACGCCGUAAACGUUGGGCGCUAGGUGUGGGGUCCCUUCCACGGGCUCCGUGCCGCAGCUAACGCAUUAAGCGCCCCGCCUGGGGAGUACGGCCGCAAGGCUAAAACUCAAAGGAAUUGACGGGGGCCCGCACAAGCGGCGGAGCAUGUGGCUUAAUUCGAUGCAACGCGAAGAACCUUACCAAGGCUUGACAUGCGCAGAAAUCCGGCAGAGAUGUCGGGUCCGUAAGGGCUGCGUACAGGUGGUGCAUGGUUGUCGUCAGCUCGUGUCGUGAGAUGUUGGGUUAAGUCCCGCAACGAGCGCAACCCUCGUUCUAUGUUGCCAGCGCGUUAUGGCGGGGACUCAUAGGAGACUGCCGGGGUCAACUCGGAGGAAGGUGGGGAUGACGUCAAAUCAUCAUGCCCCUUAUGUCUUGGGCUGCACACAUGCUACAAUGGCCAGUACAAAGGGCUGCGAUACCGCGAGGUGGAGCGAAUCCCAAAAAGCUGGUCUCAGUUCGGAUUGGGGUCUGCAACUCGACCCCAUGAAGUCGGAGUCGCUAGUAAUCGCAGAUCAGCAACGCUGCGGUGAAUACGUUCCCGGGCCUUGUACACACCGCCCGUCACGUCACGAAAGUCGGUAACACCCGAAGCCAGUGGCCCAACCCCUCGGGGAGGGAGCUGUCGAAGGUGGGAUCGGCAUUGGGAGCGAAGUCGUAACAAGGUAGCCGUACCGGAAGGUGCGGCUGGAUCACCUCC